Long non-coding RNA from Mus musculus (house mouse), 986 nucleotides. RefSeq annotates it as predicted gene, 41923. NCBI's taxonomy places the organism in Eukaryota, Metazoa, Chordata, Mammalia, Rodentia, Muridae. The transcript has 2 exons. The record is from RefSeq and is a predicted model, not a curated record.
CCCCCCACAAGUGGCACUAAGGGGAGCAAGUAAGUGGUAGACAAAUGGAAGAGAAAGAAAAGAAGACACGUGUGUACACAAUGAAGGGAGGCAGAACUGUAGAAUCAAGGGUAGUGAGGAACAGCCUGUGAGUAACUGAUCAUACCACCUAGGACUAUGGUUGGGUUCUGACCUGUGCUGGUACCAGAGGCAAUUUCUGGGUCAGUGGCCCAGCAGCAAGAGGGGUCUAUUACCAUAGAAGGCCAGGCAGACAUCCCUGUGUUGGCUGCUUUCCCAGAGACAUGUUGAUGCCUGAGGGCUGUGCAGAAUUUGCCUUACUCCCCCACCCCCUGCCCAGGCAUUGUGAGAGAGCUUGCCUUCCAGACUUGAGAGCAGAGAUGACCCAGACUAUAACAAGCUGCAGUGCUUAAGAGAGUGGGCCCUUUACUUAAUUUAGGCAGCACAGUAGAGAUGUUCUGAUGACCUGGGGACAGAUGAGCAGCCCCAAGGGCAUUGGAGUGGAGAGUUGGAUGUGUCCCUUGGUGGCUGUGACAUUGGAUGGGUCAGCUGAGGCAGGACAGGGAGAUCUUGCCCCAGUGAUGUGGGUAGUGAAGAGCUGGUGAGUUGAUCUUCUCAGAUACCUUUCUUCCCAAGAUCCAGGACUUUGAGUAGGGCUCACGUCAACAUCUACCCUAUCGAUGAACUGCUGGAGUACAUGAAUGGCUUGUCCUUAAGAUGCAAAACUAUAGGAUCUCCUGCUACACAAGGAAAAACAUGAUAACUGAGAGGAGUCCCAGUGAGGAUCCAGUGUAGCUCCUGGAUUACUCCCUGAGGUGGAAGCUAAUGGCCAUCUCAGAAGAGACCCUGAUGAAAAAGUCCUACCUGGAAAAUCUUGGGAGUCUCUAUUGUAUGCCACAGCUUCACAAUGGUUGAAGAAAGACUGGUGAUCAACUUGUGUGUUUUCAGAUAAAGCUAUGUCUUUCAUAAAACUCACAUCUUUAACUCAA